CCUCCUUCGGGAGGGGAUUAGUGGCGAACGGGUGAGUAACACGUGGGCAAUCUGCCCUGCACUCUGGGACAAGCCCUGGAAACGGGGUCUAAUACCGGAUACUGAUCAUCUUGGGCAUCCUUGGUGAUCGAAAGCUCCGGCGGUGCAGGAUGAGCCCGCGGCCUAUCAGCUUGUUGGUGAGGUAAUGGCUCACCAAGGCGACGACGGGUAGCCGGCCUGAGAGGGCGACCGGCCACACUGGGACUGAGACACGGCCCAGACUCCUACGGGAGGCAGCAGUGGGGAAUAUUGCACAAUGGGCGAAAGCCUGAUGCAGCGACGCCGCGUGAGGGAUGACGGCCUUCGGGUUGUAAACCUCUUUCAGCAGGGAAGAAGCGAAAGUGACGGUACCUGCAGAAGAAGCGCCGGCUAACUACGUGCCAGCAGCCGCGGUAAUACGUAGGGCGCGAGCGUUGUCCGGAAUUAUUGGGCGUAAAGAGCUCGUAGGCGGCUUGUCGCGUCGGUUGUGAAAGCCCGGGGCUUAACCCCGGGUCUGCAGUCGAUACGGGCAGGCUAGAGUUCGGUAGGGGAGAUCGGAAUUCCUGGUGUAGCGGUGAAAUGCGCAGAUAUCAGGAGGAACACCGGUGGCGAAGGCGGAUCUCUGGGCC
RNAcentral lists this ribosomal RNA (647 nucleotides) under Streptomyces sp. RNAcentral's name for it is "bacterial SSU rRNA". It matches the Rfam family "Bacterial small subunit ribosomal RNA", at positions 74 to 735 of the family's 1533-position model. Lineage: Bacteria; Bacillati; Actinomycetota; Actinomycetes; Kitasatosporales; Streptomycetaceae. The record is from RNAcentral.